Dendrobium catenatum is the source of this 103-nucleotide small nuclear RNA. NCBI's taxonomy places the organism in Eukaryota, Viridiplantae, Streptophyta, Magnoliopsida, Asparagales, Orchidaceae. The record is from RefSeq and is a predicted model, not a curated record.
GUCUCUUCGGAGACAUCCGAUAAAAUUGGAACGAUACACAAAAGAUUAGUAUGGCCCCUGCACAAAGAUGACACGCAGGAUAUGUUUGUUUUAGUUUUUAUUU